RNAcentral lists this ribosomal RNA (492 nucleotides) under uncultured bacterium. Its description in RNAcentral is "partial 16S ribosomal RNA". It matches the Rfam family "Bacterial small subunit ribosomal RNA", at positions 29 to 507 of the family's 1533-position model. The record is from RNAcentral.
AGUGAACGCUGGCGGUAGGCCUAACACAUGCAAGUCGAACGGCAGCACAGUAAGAGCUUUCUCUUACGGGUGGCGAGUGGCGGAUGGGUGAGGCAUACAUCGGACUCUACUUUUUCGUGGGUGAUAACGUAGGGACACCUACGCUAAUACCGCAUACGACCUACGGCUGCAAUCAGGGGAUCUUCGCACCUUGCUCGAUUGAAUGAGCUGAUGUCGGACUAGCUAGUCGGAGGGGUAAAGGCCCACCCAGUCGACGAUCCGUAGCUGGUCUGCGAGGAUGAUAAGCCACACGGGAACUGAGACACGGUACAGACUCCGACGGGAGGCAGCAGUGGGGAAUAUUGGAAAAGGGGCGGAAGCCUGAUCCAGCAAUACCGCGUGGGUGAAGAAGGAGUUAGGGUUGUAAAGCCCUUUUGUUGGGAAAGAAAAGCAGAAGGUUAAUACCCCGCUGUUCUGACGGUACCCAAAGAAUAAGCACCGGAUAAAUUCGUG